CCUACGGGGGGCAGCAGUGAGGAAUAUUGGUCAAUGGGCUUACGCCUGAACCAGCCAAGUCGCGUGAGGGAAGACUGCCCUAUGGGUUGUAAACCUCUUUUGUCAGGGAGCAAUUGGCGCUACGUGUAGCGUUAUCGAGCGUACCUGAAGAAAAAGCAUCGGCUAACUCCGUGCCAGCAGCCGCGGUAAUACGGAGGAUGCGAGCGUUAUCCGGAUUUAUUGGGUUUAAAGGGUGCGUAGGCGGAAUGCCAAGUCAGCGGUAAAAUCGCGGGGCUCAACCUCGCUCCGCCGUUGAAACUGGCGUUCUUGAGUGGGCGAGAAGUAUGCGGAAUGCGUGGUGUAGCGGUGAAAUGCAUAGAUAUUAGGAGGAACACCAGUGGCGAAGGCAGUCUGCUGGACAGCAACUGACGCUGAGGCGCGAAAGCGUGGGGAGCAAACAGGAUUAGAUACCCGAGUAGUC
Molecule: ribosomal RNA, 460 nt
Filed under: uncultured bacterium
Lineage: Bacteria
Description: partial 16S ribosomal RNA
Rfam family: Bacterial small subunit ribosomal RNA
Source: RNAcentral